CUAGGAAUAUUGGACAAUGGGCGAAAGCCUGAUCCAGCAACACCGCGUGGAGGACGAAGGCCUUCGGGUCGUAAACUCCUUUUUGGGGGGUAUGAGAAAGGACAGUACCCCCGAGAAUAAGGCCCGGCUAACUACGUGCCAGCAGCCGCGGUAAUACGUAGGGGCCAAGCGUUAUCCGGAUUUACUGGGCGUAAAGCGCAUGUAGGCGGUUUACUAAGUCGGACGUGAAAGCCCCUGGCUCAACUAGGGGAGGCUGUUCGAAACUAGUAGACUAGAGGGUGGUAGAGGAGAGCGGAAUUCCAGGUGUAGCGGUGAAAUGCGUAGAUAUCUGGAGGAACACCAGUGGCGAAAGCGGCUCUCUGGCCCACUCCUGACGCUGAGAUGCGAAAGCCAGGGGAGAGA
Molecule: ribosomal RNA, 402 nt
Filed under: uncultured bacterium
Lineage: Bacteria
Description: bacterial SSU rRNA
Rfam family: Bacterial small subunit ribosomal RNA
Source: RNAcentral